ACAGAGUUGGCAGAAAUAUGUGAAUAAUUUAGGUUUAUUUUAUAAGAUUUAUUAAUCUUACUUUGUA
RNAcentral lists this transfer RNA (67 nucleotides) under Sthenoteuthis oualaniensis. RNAcentral's name for it is "tRNA-Leu". Lineage: Eukaryota; Metazoa; Mollusca; Cephalopoda; Oegopsida; Ommastrephidae. The record is from RNAcentral.